UUAAAAAGAACAGAUACAAGGACAUACUGCCAUUGAUCACAGCCGAGUUAAAUUGACAUUAAAGACUCCUUCACAAGAUUCAGACUAUAUCAAUGCAAAUUUUAUAAAGGCGUCUAUGGGCCAAAAGCAUAUGUAGCAACUCAAGGACCUUUAGCAAAUACAGUAAUAGAUUUUUGGAGGAUGAUAUGGGAGUAUAAUGUUGUGUCAUUGUAAUGGCCUGCCGAGAAUUUGA
RNAcentral lists this long non-coding RNA (232 nucleotides) under Homo sapiens (human). Its description in RNAcentral is "HSALNT0124664". The record is from RNAcentral. Lineage: Eukaryota; Metazoa; Chordata; Mammalia; Primates; Hominidae.